RNAcentral lists this ribosomal RNA (502 nucleotides) under Bacillus sp. 1S5 17. Its description in RNAcentral is "bacterial SSU rRNA". It matches the Rfam family "Bacterial small subunit ribosomal RNA", at positions 379 to 872 of the family's 1533-position model. The record is from RNAcentral. Lineage: Bacteria; Bacillati; Bacillota; Bacilli; Caryophanales; Bacillaceae.
AAGUCUGACGGAGCACGCCGCGUGAGUGAUGAAGGUUUUCGGAUCGUAAAGCUCUGUUGUUAGGGAAGAACAAGUGCCGUUCGAAUAGGGCGGCACCUUGACGGUACCUAACCAGAAAGCCACGGCUAACUACGUGCCAGCAGCCGCGGUAAUACGUAGGUGGCAAGCGUUGUCCGGAAUUAUUGGGCGUAAAGCGCGCGCAGGCGGUCUCUUAAGUCUGAUGUGAAAGCCCACGGCUCAACCGUGGAGGGUCAUUGGAAACUGGGGGACUUGAGUACAGAAGAGGAAAGUGGAAUUCCACGUGUAGCGGUGAAAUGCGUAGAUAUGUGGAGGAACACCAGUGGCGAAGGCGACUUUCUGGUCUGUAACUGACGCUGAGGCGCGAAAGCGUGGGGAGCAAACAGGAUUAGAUACCCUGGUAGUCCACGCCGUAAACGAUGAGUGCUAAGUGUUAGAGGGUUUCCGCCCUUUAGUGCUGCAGCUAACGCAUUAAGCACUCCGC